UACAGAGGGGGCAAGCGUUGUUCGGAAUUACUGGGCGUAAAGGGCGCGUAGGCGGCCUGCUAAGUCGAACGUGAAAUCCCUGGGCUCAACCCAGGAACUGCGUCCGAUACUGGUUGGCUUGAAUCCGGGAGAGGGAUGUGGAAUUCCAGGUGUAGCGGUGAAAUGCGUAGAUAUCAGGAGGAACACCGAUGGCGAAGGCAGCUCUCUGGGACGUUACUGACGCUGAGACGCGAAAGCGUGGGGAGCAAACAGG
Molecule: ribosomal RNA, 253 nt
Filed under: uncultured bacterium
Lineage: Bacteria
Description: partial 16S ribosomal RNA
Rfam family: Bacterial small subunit ribosomal RNA
Source: RNAcentral